GAAGUUGAAUUUGUCGAUGGAUCACUUUUAAAAUUGAAAAGUUAUAUUGAAGUGUAUUUGGAGCAACCCAUGGAAUUUAAAUUACUUUUGGUUGAAAAGGAUUCUGAGGAGAUUGUAUGGAAAGCAAAGCUGAGAGAGUGUGAGUGUUUUGUCUCUUGAAUUAAAACUCUGGUUUCGGGGGAGGAAGCAGACAGUGGUCUGUCGCAUCACUAUGUUACUUCUUAAUCACAACAAAUGCCACAGUACUAAAGGUAUUUAACAUGUAGUGACCUGAAUAACAGGUGUUCUUCUAGACCAAAUCUCUUGGUAGUUUUAAAGAUCACUUUUUAAAGACCACUCACUCUGUGUUUAAACUCAUUUGAUGAUAUUCGGCAUUGUAAGAGAAUGCUGGUUUACAUUAUUUUGGGGGCUUAAACCUAAUGAUUAACCGAAGUUGCCCAUAACCCAUUAAGGCAUCUUCACUAAAGGGACCAACAGAAGCCCUGCCUAAGGCAUAGGCACCUGUUAGAGCAGGGACUGAAUGUCACAGGGCGAAUCACAAUGAAGUGUCCAGAAAGAACCCCCCAGCGCAGAAUGAAAAUACGUAUAUGAAAUUGUUUUGUGUGGAGUAUAUGUAAGUUCACUUAAAAUUGAAAGAUGUUUAUUUUUAUGGCUUCCUUCUCCAUAUGGCAUGUGAUGCCAGUGUUCUAUCUACAUAGUUAUAGAUUUAAAGAAAUACAGAGCAAAUGAUAUUUCACCUGGCAUAUGGGUUUGGCAUAUAUAUGGUAUGCAGAUGACUGAUGUUUGGCAAACACUUGUCCCACAAGAUGUUUUGGAAGGAGUACUUUUUUAUUUAUCCUGAAAGGUCAAGCUGAGUGUAUUGCAUACAUACUAAGUUAAAACUCAAGACUCGUAUUCGAACUUCAGAAGAUUGCCAGGAACCCAGUGCUUUCACAGAUCUAUUGCCUUAAUUCCAAUUUUAGAUCACCUUUCCAAUUGCUACUUAUUGUACUUUAACAGGUGACUGGGUUCAGCAUGAUCAGAAUCAAAACGUUUCAAAAAGCAACACAAGUGGUAAGUGCUUGGAACCAGACAUUAAACUCUUCCAUCCCUUCCAUCCACUAGAAUUUUAAUUUUGCUGUGCAAAUACAGUAGUGUCAAGGAUCUAAGUCUUUCAUAACUCUUUAAUUAGCUGAAGGACCUUUGAAUCCAUUUGUUCAAUUUGUUUCUAUCUGAAUGAUGAUGUAAAAAAAAAAUCCAGUUUGAAGUUGGGUAGAUAGUAAGAGCAUAAAGGAAAGCCAAUUUGUUGUUGUUGUUUUUUAAAGGUAACAGGCGACGAAAAAUGAGUAGCAGCUUACCUGAUGAAGUGGUCUAUGAUAAAAGAAUGAAGCAGUUUGACACUUCAGGUUUGUAAAAAUGUUGUCCAUGGCUCUCAGUCAUUUUCCCUGUCUCCCCUAUUGACAUUCAACCAACACGGGUGCUUUUGGGGUCAGUCUUCCUGGAGCUACAUCCCAGGUAUUCCUUCCCUCCCAGAUAAGGUCCCUGUGUCCCUGCUUCUCAGGCCUGAAUUAUGGUCCUCCUUGGUCUGCCCCAGCAGACGUUUCCAGCUUGACUGCCCACUCUUCCCCUUUGCUUGGCGAAAGUAGAAUGAAGGGCCAGGGGAAGCUCCUGCAGCCUGUGGUGGGAAGGGCCAGGGCCUGUCCAUCUGCCCAUUUCCCGUAGCACUGAGGCUUUCGGCCUCUGAUGCAGAAGACCAUGAAUGUCCAUUGAAAGAGUGAAUUGUGAAUGUCUGUGUGUGCAUUCACUGGCCUCAUGGCUAUUAGCUAUGUCAUGGGAGGGAGCUGCCAGCUUGGUUUUUGAAGACAAGGGCCAACCUAAUUUCUUUCAGUUAAAUGACAGAGACCAAGGCUUGAUAGUUGUAAAAAGACCAUUGAGGUUCAAACAUUUAACAAUAGUACUCCAAGGAGCCAGAAGAUGGAGUAUGUACCUCAAAAUUCAAGUCGAGCCAGAAUUCACACGUUUAAGUUAAAAAACCCAGACUCAAAUUAUGAGACCGGGUCUCAAGGCUUUGGGGGCCUUAUAUAGAUUCACGUUUUUAUCAAAAUACCUUUUUUUUUUUUUUUUGUCUUCCUAGGGCUGCACCCAUGGCAUAUGGAAGUUCCCAGGUUAGGGGUCCAAUCAUGCACAGCAGCAUCAGAUCCAAGCCUCAUGGCAACACUGGAUCCUUAACCCACUGAGCAAGGCUGGGGAUCAGACCUACAUCCUCAUGGAUACUAGUUGGGUUUGUUAACUGCUUAGCCAUGAUGGGAACUCCCAAAAUAUCUUUAAUUUACAGUUAUAAGGUGGUAUGAAGCUCUAAAUGCAGAUAAAACUCUUGCUCUAUAGACCAAAAUAAGAUAUUCUUUAUUUGCUAGAGCAGGAGGUGGUGAGGGUGAUAUAUGUCUGAUUUUACUCUGUGUCACUAGAGACAUGUUUAUUAUAUCUAUUAAGUGAACAUCAAAAUAAGCGAAGCUCAAGAAUUAUUUUUAAAACCAGCCAAGGAGUUCCCAUGGUGGCUCAUUCGGUUAUGAACCUGUCUAGAACUAGUAUCCAUAAGAACGAGGGCUCGAUCCCUGGUCUCCUUCAGUGGGUUAAGUGAGCUGUAGUGUAGGUUACAGGUGCGUCUCAGAUCCUACAUAACUAUGGCUGUGGUGUAGGCCAGUGGCUACAGCUCUGAUUUGACCCCUAGCCUGGGAACCUCCAUAUGCUGUAGGUGUAGACCUAAAAAACAAAACAAACAAAACCCGUAAAUAUUAGCUCAAGUACAAGUAGCUAGAAAUAGAAUUAAAAUUAUCAAAUAGUACCUACAAAGAUUAAAAGCUUCCUACUUUUUUAGAGUUGACAGUGUGGUGUCAAAUAAAUUAAUACUUACUUUUGUUUAGGUAUUUACCCAACAAUUGUUGAGAUAUUGUAUCACUAUCCGUGUAGUUUCAGACUCCAUGUAUCACCAUGUUGCUUUUAAAAAUAUGAUCAUCUCUCAACCUUAACAGAAUCACUUUGAGAUCUUAUUAAGCUCUAGAUUCAGAGUCUGGUUCAGUAGGUUUGAGGAUGAUCCUGAGAACUUGUGUUUUUGAUGGGUUCCCUGUGCAGUUUUCGUUGUAGCCGUUUGAGAGGAAGGAGCCCCCCCACCUCAGGAGACCACCAUAGGGCAGGGGCCACCCUUCAGAACCCAUUCUUCAGUCUAGAAAGUCAGAGAGGAAACUGAGGUGAGUUAGGGUCUAAAACAAAUGUUUGGCUCACAUCAAUGGAUUGUUAGCUGUAGCUGAGCAAAAGGGUUACUGCCCGGGAGGAGGGGCAGUAAGGAUUCUUCCUUCCUCUCCCUCCCGUCUAAUGUCACAUUUGGUGUUUCUAAGGCCUGGAAGAUCCUUAACCUAGAUUUUGCAGCCAGUGGGCUUUGCUGCACCGUAGUUCAACCGGCUAAAAAGUGUGAACGAAGAAAAUCUAGCCUACUGCUAGGGCAGAUGUUUUUAAUGGAGCCAGUGGUUUGCAUUGGCAAACACAUGCUGUUCCAAGAUUAUGACACUGUGACUUAGCAACAGGUAUUACAAAUACCAUCCCCUGAUGUUUGUGUGGAAUGUGCUUUUUUGUCUAAUGCCAGGAGAUGGCGUAAUGGAGCCUGCAAUUCAUAUCUCUUGCUGUCUUCUUUAGUGACCACUAAAGGUAGCAUUUUGUGUGUGGCAUUAAGACUUAGAUAAAGAUGCAGAGGUGAGCAAGGCAAAAGCUGUAUAUUUUUCUUUUUGAGCCACAUAAAUGAUUUUUGACGCCUGAUUUUUUUUCUUACUCCAACCUAAUUUGUGCUGCUUUGUAAAAUAAUUUUACUCCUUGAAUUAUUGAAUUAUCAUUGUGAGCAAUUUAAUACCCGAAUUUUAUGUUAUGUGAAAUUGUUCCCUUCAGUCCUUAAGAUAGUUUGGAAAGCAGGGAUUUUUUUGGCACUUAAAUAUAUUUUAAAAGCUUUUAUUAAAGUUUUGAAUCACAGGUUUUUUAAUAUAAAGAGAAUGCAUUUUCAUUAUAAUUUGCUAUAAAUGAUUGAAAUGUUGAGAAGAACUACUGAAUUCUUCACCUGCUUUUAGAUGGAGCGAAGACUAAAACCUUGUUAACAGACACUCAGUUGUUUGACCUUGCUGAGAAGUUGGGGAAGGAGUGGAUGAAAAUUGCCAUUGCCAACCUGAAGUUGAAGAUGAGUGAUAUUGAUGCUAUCCUGGAGAAGAAAGAAGAUGUCACCAUGAAUAAGUUUAGGAUGCUAAAGAAGUGGCAAGAAAAGGAGAAGAGUAAUGCGACAGCUCAGAAUUUAUGUAACUGCUUGAAAAACGUCGAUUCGGUUGAGGUCCAAGAUGUGCUGAAAGGUAAGUGGGAAAUUAUCUUAAUUAGUCAUUUACUUGGAAUCAAGCUGUGCCUUUGCAAAUAGCAAAUUUCUGCUAUAGAAUGUGUUGCUUAUUUAUAAACUCGGGUUCAGAGAAUUGUGCAAAUGCAGAAGGAAGAAUGUGGGCUGCUGUAUCUAAGUAAAGGUGAUUUGUGUGUGGAGUCGGUAGACAUACUCAAUUCCCAUCUCAAGGGCUGGCCGUCACAAUUUGUCACUAAGCCAAUUCUGUUGUUGUUUUUUUUAAUUUUAAAUUAUUUAUUUUUUAAAAUUAAAGUAUAGUUGACUUACGGUGUCAUGCCAGUUUUUGCUAGACAGCAAAGUGACUCAUAUAUGCGCACAUUCUUUUUUAUAUUCUUUUCUGUCAUGGUCUGUCCCAGGAGAUUGACUGUAGUUCCCUGUGCUAUGCAGUAGGACUUUGUUGUUUUUCUAUUCUACAUGUAAUAGUUUACAUAUACUCACCCCAAACCCCCAGUGCAUCCUACUUCCUCCUUCCACCCCCUUGGCAACCACAAGUCUGUUCUCCAUGUCUGUGAGUUUGUCUGUUUUGUAGAUAGGUUCAUUUGUGCCAUAUUUUAGAUUCUACAUAUAAGUGAUAUUAUAUGGUAUCCCUCUUUCUUUCUUUUCUUUUUUUUCCUUUCUUUUUUUUUUUUUUUUUUUUUUUUUUUGUCUUUUUAGGGCCACACGUGUGGCAUAUGGAAGUUCUCUGUCUAGGGGUUGAAUCAGAGCUAUAACUGCCAGUCUACGCCACAGCCACAGCAACGUCUACAUUGAGCUGUGUUUGGGACCUACACCAUAGCUCAUGGCAAUGCCAGAUCCUUAACCCACUGAGCAAGGCCUGGGAUCAAACUCGAGUCCUCAUGGUUGCUAGUCAGGUUCAUUACCGCUGAGCCACAACGGGAACUCCCCCCUUUUUUGUCUUUGUCUUUCUCUUUCUGACUUACUUCACUUAGUAUGAGAAUCUCUAGACCCAUCUAUGUUCCAUUGUGUGGUGUGUGUAUUUAUAUAUAUACACAUACCAUAUCUUAAUCCAUUCCUUUGUUGAUGGACAUUUAGGUUGCUUUCAUGUCUUAGUUAUUGUGAAUAGUGCUGCUAAGAACCUAGGGGUGCAUGCAUCUUUUUGAAUGGAAAUUUUGUCUGGAUAUAUGCCCAGGAGUGGGAUUGUGGGAUCAUAUGGUAGCUCUAUAUUUAGUUUUCUGAGGAGCCUCCAUACUGUUUUCCAUAGUAGUUGUACAAAUUUACAUUGCCACCAACAGUGAAGGGGGUUUUCCACACCCUCUCCAGCAUUUAUUAUUUGUAGACUUACUGGCGAUGGCCAUUCUGACCGGUGUGAGGUGGUACCUCAUUGUAGUUUUGAUUUGCAUUCCUCUAAUAAUUAGUGGUGUUGAGGAGCUCCUGCUAUGGCGCAGUGGGAUUGACAGAAUCUUGGGAGCACUGGGAUGCGGGUUCGAUCCAUGGCCCCACACAGUGGAUUAUGUGCAGCUGUGGCUUAGGUGGCUACUGUGGCUUGGAUCUGAUCCCUGGCCUGGGAGGUCCAUGUGCCAUGGGGUGGCCAAAAAUGAAAAAAAAAAAAAAAA
RNAcentral lists this long non-coding RNA (5952 nucleotides) under Sus scrofa (pig). Its description in RNAcentral is "lncRNA (ENSSSCG00000052282.1)". Lineage: Eukaryota; Metazoa; Chordata; Mammalia; Artiodactyla; Suidae. The record is from RNAcentral.